AACGAACGCUUGCGGCAUGCCUAACACAUGCAAGUCGAACGAGAUCUUCGGGUCUAGUGGCGCACGGGUGCGUAACGCGUGGGAAUCUGCCCUUUGGUUCGGAAUAACAGUUGGAAACGACUGCUAAUACCGGAUGAUGACGAAAGUCCAAAGAUUUAUCGCCAGAGGAGGAGCCCGCGUAGGAUUAGCUAGUUGGUGUGGUAAAGGCGCACCAAGGCGACGAUCCUUAGCUGGUCUGAGAGGAUGAUCAGCCACACUGGGACUGAGACACGGCCCAGACUCCUACGGGAGGCAGCAGUGGGGAAUAUUGGACAAUGGGCGAAAGCCUGAUCCAGCAAUGCCGCGUGAGUGAUGAAGGCCUUAGGGUUGUAAAGCUCUUUUACCCGGGAUGAUAAUGACAGUACCGGGAGAAUAAGCUCCGGCUAACUCCGUGCCAGCCGCCGCGGUAA
This 449-nucleotide ribosomal RNA is filed under the name uncultured bacterium. RNAcentral describes it as "partial 16S ribosomal RNA". It matches the Rfam family "Bacterial small subunit ribosomal RNA", at positions 29 to 523 of the family's 1533-position model. The record is from RNAcentral.